CCUACGGGGUGCAGCAGUGGGGGAUAUUGCACAAUGGGGGAAACCCUGAUGCAGCGACGCCGCGUGGGUGAAGAAGCGCCUCGGCGCGUAAAGCCCUGUCAGCAGGGAAGAAAAUGACGGUACCUGAAGAAGAAGCCCCGGCUAACUACGUGCCAGCAGCCGCGGUAAUACGUAGGGGGCAAGCGUUAUCCGGAUUUACUGGGUGUAAAGGGGGCGCAGACGGCGAUGCAAGCCAGGAGUGAAAGCCCGGGGCCCAACCCCGGGACUGCUCUUGGAACUGCGUGGCUAGAGUGCAGGAGGGGCAGGCGGAAUUCCUGGGGUAGCGGUGAAAUGCGUAGAUAUCAGGAGGAACACCGGUGGCGAAGGCGGCCUGCUGGACCGCAACUGACGUUGAGGCCCGAAAGCGUGGGGAGCAAACAGGAUUAGAUACCCCAGUAGUC
This 440-nucleotide ribosomal RNA is filed under the name uncultured bacterium. RNAcentral describes it as "partial 16S ribosomal RNA". It matches the Rfam family "Bacterial small subunit ribosomal RNA", at positions 338 to 795 of the family's 1533-position model. The record is from RNAcentral.